This 217-nucleotide ribosomal RNA is filed under the name uncultured bacterium. RNAcentral's name for it is "partial 16S ribosomal RNA". It matches the Rfam family "Bacterial small subunit ribosomal RNA", at positions 524 to 738 of the family's 1533-position model. The record is from RNAcentral.
UACGUAGGGCGCAAGCGUUGUCCGGAAUUAUUGGGCGUAAAGAGCUCGUAGGCGGCUUGUCACGUCUGCUGUGAAAUCCCGGGGCUCAACCCCGGGCGUGCAGUGGAUACGGGCUGGCUAGAGGCAGGCAGGGGAGAACGGAAUUCCCGGUGUAGCGGUGAAAUGCGCAGAUAUCGGGAGGAACGACCGGUGGCGCAAGGCGGUUCUCUGGGCCUGU